CACAUCAAAUUGUGUUACUUA
RNAcentral lists this small nuclear RNA (21 nucleotides) under Arabidopsis thaliana (thale cress). Its description in RNAcentral is "snRNA_12985". Lineage: Eukaryota; Viridiplantae; Streptophyta; Magnoliopsida; Brassicales; Brassicaceae. The record is from RNAcentral.